GGCGAACUAUGUGCCAGCAGCCGCGGUAAUACAUAGGUGGCAAGCGUUAUCCGGAUUUAUUGGGCGUACAGGGUGCGUAGGCGGUUGUGUAAGUUUGAGGUUAAAGCCCGGAGCUCAACUCCGGUUCGCCUUGAAAACUACAUAACUAGAAUGCAAGAGAGGUAAAUGGAAUUCCAUGUGUAGCGGUAAAAUGCGUAGAUAUAUGGAAGAACACCUGUGGCGAAAGCGGUUUACCAGCUUGUUAUUGACGCUGAGGCACGAAAGCGUGGGGAGCAAAUAGGAUUAGAUACCCUAGUAGUCCACGCCGUAAACGUUGAGUACUAGGUGUCGGGAAUUAUCUCGGCGCCGCAGCUAACGCAUUAAGUACUCCGCCUGAGUAGUAUGCACGCAAGUGUGAAACUCAAAGGAAUUGACGGGGACCCGCACAAGUGGUGGAGCAUGUGGUUUAAUUCGAAGCAACACGAAGAACCUUACCAGGGCUUGACAUCCAGUGCAAAGGCAUAGAGAUAUGCUGGAGGCUAACAUUGAGACAGGUGGUGCAUGGUUGUCGUCAGUUCGUGCCGUGAGGUGUUUGGUUAAGUCCAGCAACGAACGCAACCCUUGUCAUUAGUUACUAACAUUAAGUUGAGGACUCUAAUGAGACUGCUAGUGUAAGCUAGAGGAAGGUGGGGAUGACGUCAAAUCAUCAUGCCCCUUAUGUCCUGGGCUACACACGUGCUACAAUGGCUGAUACAAAGAGUCGCAAUCUCGUAAGGAGGAGCUAAUCUCAUAAAGUCAGUCUCAGUUCGGAUUGAGGGCUGCAACUCGCCCUCAUGAAGCCGGAAUCACUAGUAAUCGCGAAUCAGACAUGUCGCGGUGAAUACGUUCUCGGGUCUUGUACACACCGCCCGUCACACCACGAGAGUUGGUAACACCAGAAGUAGGUAGCCUAACCGUAAGGAGGGCGCCUCCCAAGGUGGGAUCAGCGAUUGGGGUG
Molecule: ribosomal RNA, 976 nt
Filed under: uncultured Mesoplasma sp.
Lineage: Bacteria; Bacillati; Mycoplasmatota; Mollicutes; Entomoplasmatales; Entomoplasmataceae
Description: bacterial SSU rRNA
Rfam family: Bacterial small subunit ribosomal RNA
Source: RNAcentral